Small nuclear RNA from Myotis myotis, 191 nucleotides. RefSeq annotates it as U2 spliceosomal RNA. The record is from RefSeq and is a predicted model, not a curated record. NCBI's taxonomy places the organism in Eukaryota, Metazoa, Chordata, Mammalia, Chiroptera, Vespertilionidae. The transcript has a single exon.
AUCGCUUCUCGGCCUUUUGGCUAAGAUCAAGUGUAGUAUCUGUUCUUAUCAGUUUAAUAAAAUAAGGAUCCUUGGACUCCAACUGCCUUAAGCAGUUCUGCAUGAACUAUCACUGGAUAAAAAUUCCAAUCUGCCUGAUUCUGUUCAACAUGUUCUUGAUUACAUUAUAUUCAGAGUAACAGCAAGCUUCU